This 331-nucleotide long non-coding RNA is filed under the name Vigna radiata. RNAcentral describes it as "long non-coding RNA (VRAD_LNC002769)". Lineage: Eukaryota; Viridiplantae; Streptophyta; Magnoliopsida; Fabales; Fabaceae. The record is from RNAcentral.
UGGUAACGCUCAUUUGAAUUGGUUGUGAUAUGGUAGACUCGUUGGUAGUUUUCGCUUUCGGGUGGUAUUAGAGGAAGAAUAAUCGCGAUUGGGGUGGAUACCGAACUUGGUUUGUGUAAGACGAUGAGUAGGUGCGACGGUUUGUACAAGAUGGUGAUAUCACCGAUGAUGGUCUUAAUCAUGAGUGUUGUAGUGGCAUUGUUCUUGACUUGAAGAAAACAGACAACGACAAUAAGCAUGGGUGACUCUUGCAUGGGUAAAGGACGCAGAAGAAGAAACCUUAAAGAGAAUCCUUUGAGGCCCUAUGUUUAUGUGUUUGUAAAUAAAAGGC